Molecule: ribosomal RNA, 725 nt
Filed under: uncultured Alteromonas sp.
Lineage: Bacteria; Pseudomonadati; Pseudomonadota; Gammaproteobacteria; Alteromonadales; Alteromonadaceae
Description: bacterial SSU rRNA
Rfam family: Bacterial small subunit ribosomal RNA
Source: RNAcentral
GGUAACAUUUCUAGCUUGCUAGAAGAUGACGAGUGGCGGACGGGUGAGUAAUGCUUGGGAACUUGCCUUUGCGAGGGGGAUAACAGUUGGAAACGACUGCUAAUACCGCAUAAUGUCUUCGGACCAAACGGGGCUUCGGCUCCGGCGCAAAGAGAGGCCCAAGUGAGAUUAGCUAGUUGGUAAGGUAACGGCUUACCAAGGCGACGAUCUCUAGCUGUUCUGAGAGGAAGAUCAGCCACACUGGGACUGAGACACGGCCCAGACUCCUACGGGAGGCAGCAGUGGGGAAUAUUGCACAAUGGGGGAAACCCUGAUGCAGCCAUGCCGCGUGUGUGAAGAAGGCCUUCGGGUUGUAAAGCACUUUCAGUUGUGAGGAAAAGUUAGUAGUUAAUACCUGCUAGCCGUGACGUUAACAACAGAAGAAGCACCGGCUAACUCCGUGCCAGCAGCCGCGGUAAUACGGAGGGUGCGAGCGUUAAUCGGAAUUACUGGGCGUAAAGCGCACGCAGGCGGUUUGUUAAGCUAGAUGUGAAAGCCCCGGGCUCAACCUGGGAUGGUCAUUUAGAACUGGCAGACUAGAGUCUUGGAGAGGGGAGUGGAAUUCCAGGUGUAGCGGUGAAAUGCGUAGAUAUCUGGAGGAACAUCAGUGGCGAAGGCGACUCCCUGGCCCAAAGGACUGACGCUCAUGUGCGAAAGUGUGGGUAGCGAAACAGGAUUAGAUACCC